Molecule: non-coding RNA, 167 nt
Organism: Marchantia polymorpha subsp. ruderalis
Lineage: Eukaryota; Viridiplantae; Streptophyta; Marchantiopsida; Marchantiales; Marchantiaceae
Source: the annotation of a GenBank genome assembly
CAAGAUAGACGACGGAUGAUAUCUAUCGAUAACCAUGAACGAUGAGAUUGACUUGAUGGAUCUAGAUGAAGAUUUGAUGGACAUCUUCAUCUAGAUCCAUGAAAUCAAUCUCGUCGUCCAUGGUUAUGUUAUGUUUAAUAUUAACUACUCCGUUUCCUACUUUCUUG